Molecule: ribosomal RNA, 1560 nt
Filed under: Escherichia coli
Lineage: Bacteria; Pseudomonadati; Pseudomonadota; Gammaproteobacteria; Enterobacterales; Enterobacteriaceae
Description: bacterial SSU rRNA
Rfam family: Bacterial small subunit ribosomal RNA
Source: RNAcentral
AAAUUGAAGAGUUUGAUCAUGGCUCAGAUUGAACGCUGGCGGCAGGCCUAACACAUGCAAGUCGAACGGUAACAGGAAGAAGCUUGCUUCUUUGCUGACGAGUGGCGGACGGGUGAGUAAUGUCUGGGAAACUGCCUGAUGGAGGGGGGGAUAACUACUGGAAACGGUAGCUAAUACCGCAUAACGUCGCAAGACCAAAGAGGGGGGACCUUCGGGCCUCUUGCCAUCGGAUGUGCCCAGAUGGGAUUAGCUAGUAGGUGGGGUAAAGGCUCACCUAGGCGACGAUCCCUAGCUGGUCUGAGAGGAUGACCAGCCACACUGGAACUGAGACACGGUCCAGACUCCUACGGGAGGCAGCAGUGGGGAAUAUUGCACAAUGGGCGCAAGCCUGAUGCAGCCAUGCCGCGUGUAUGAAGAAGGCCUUCGGGUUGUAAAGUACUUUCAGCGGGGAGGAAGGGAGUAAAGUUAAUACCUUUGCUCAUUGACGUUACCCGCAGAAGAAGCACCGGCUAACUCCGUGCCAGCAGCCGCGGUAAUACGGAGGGUGCAAGCGUUAAUCGGAAUUACUGGGCGUAAAGCGCACGCAGGCGGUUUGUUAAGUCAGAUGUGAAAUCCCCGGGCUCAACACGGGAACUGCAUCUGAUACUGGCAAGCUUGAGUCUCGUAGAGGGGGGGUAGAAUUCGUGGUGUAGCGGUGAAAUGCGUAGAGAUCUGGAGGAAUACCGGUGGCGAAGGCGGCCCCCCGGACGAAGACUGACGCUCAGGUGCGAAAGCGUGGGGAGCAAACAGGAUUAGAUACCACGGUAGUCCACGCCGUAAACGAUGUCGACUUGGAGGUUGUGCCCCUUGAGGCGUGGCUUCCGGAGCUAACGCGUUAAGUCGACCGCCUGGGGAGUACGGCCGCAAGGUUAAAACUCAAAUGAAUUGACGGGGGCCCGCACAAGCGGUGGAGCAUGUGGUUUAAUUCGAUGCAACGCGAAGAACCUUACCUGGUCUUGACAUCCACAGAACCUUGUAGAGAUACGAGGGUGCCUUCGGGAACUGUGAGACAGGUGCUGCAUGGCUGUCGUCAGCUCGUGUUGUGAAAUGUUGGGUUAAGUCCCGCAACGAGCGCAACCCUUAUCCUUUGUUGCCAGCGGUCCGGCCGGGAACUCAAAGGAGACUGCCAGUGAUAAACUGGAGGAAGGUGGGGAUGACGUCAAGUCAUCAUGGCCCCUUACGACCGGGGGCUACACACGUGCUACAAUGGCGCAUACAAAGAGAAGCGACCUCGCGAGAGCAAGCGGACCUCAUAAAGUGCGUCGUAGUCCGGAUUGAGUCUGCAACUCGACUCCAUGAAGUCGGAAUCGCUAGUAAUCGUGGAUCAGAAUGCCACGGUGAAUACGUUCCCGGGCCUUGUACACACCGCCCGUCACACCAUGGGAGUGGGUUGCAAAAGAAGUAGGUAGCUUAACCUUCGGGAGGGCGCUUACCACUUUGUGAUUCAUGACUGGGGUGAAGUCGUAACAAGGUAACCGUAGGGGAACCUGCGGUUGGAUCACCUCCUUACCUUAAAGAAGC